GCGCGAAACCUCCGCAAUGUGAGAAAUCGCGACGGGGGGAUCCCAAGUGCUAUUCUUAACGGGAUGGCUUUUCUUAAGUGUAAAAAGCUUUUGGAAUAAGAGCUGGGCAAGACCGGUGCCAGCCGCCGCGGUAACACCGGCAGCUCUAGUGGUAGCUGUUUUUAUUGGGCCUAAAGCGUUCGUAGCCGGUUUGAUAAGUCUUUGGUGAAAUCCUGUAGCUUAACUAUGGGAAUUGCUGAGGAUACUGUCAGGCUUGAGGUCGGGAGAGGUUAGCGGUACUCCCAGGGUAGGGGUGAAAUCCUGUAAUCCUGGGAGGACCACCUGUGGCGAAGGCGGCUAACUGGAACGAACCUGACGGUGAGGGACGAAAGCUAGGGGCGCGAACCGG
Molecule: ribosomal RNA, 388 nt
Filed under: uncultured bacterium
Lineage: Bacteria
Description: bacterial SSU rRNA
Rfam family: Archaeal small subunit ribosomal RNA
Source: RNAcentral